Molecule: ribosomal RNA, 1216 nt
Filed under: human gut metagenome
Description: bacterial LSU rRNA
Rfam family: Bacterial large subunit ribosomal RNA
Source: RNAcentral
GUUGUUGGGUAGGGGAGCGUUCUGUAAGCCUGUGAAGGUGUGCUGUGAGGCAUGCUGGAGGUAUCAGAAGUGCGAAUGCUGACAUAAGUAACGAUAAAGCGGGUGAAAAGCCCGCUCGCCGGAAGACCAAGGGUUCCUGUCCAACGUUAAUCGGGGCAGGGUGAGUCGACCCCUAAGGCGAGGCCGAAAGGCGUAGUCGAUGGGAAACAGGUUAAUAUUCCUGUACUUGGUGUUACUGCGAAGGGGGGACGGAGAAGGCUAUGUUGGCCGGGCGACGGUUGUCCCGGUUUAAGCGUGUAGGCUGGUUUUCCAGGCAAAUCCGGAAAAUCAAGGCUGAGGCGUGAUGACGAGGCACUACGGUGCUGAAGCAACAAAUGCCCUGCUUCCAGGAAAAGCCUCUAAGCAUCAGGUAACAUCAAAUCGUACCCCAAACCGACACAGGUGGUCAGGUAGAGAAUACCAAGGCGCUUGAGAGAACUCGGGUGAAGGAACUAGGCAAAAUGGUGCCGUAACUUCGGGAGAAGGCACGCUGAUAUGUAGGUGAAGUCCCUCGCGGAUGGAGCUGAAAUCAGUCGAAGAUACCAGCUGGCUGCAACUGUUUAUUAAAAACACAGCACUGUGCAAACACGAAAGUGGACGUAUACGGUGUGACGCCUGCCCGGUGCCGGAAGGUUAAUUGAUGGGGUUAGCGCAAGCGAAGCUCUUGAUCGAAGCCCCGGUAAACGGCGGCCGUAACUAUAACGGUCCUAAGGUAGCGAAAUUCCUUGUCGGGUAAGUUCCGACCUGCACGAAUGGCGUAAUGAUGGCCAGGCUGUCUCCACCCGAGACUCAGUGAAAUUGAACUCGCUGUGAAGAUGCAGUGUACCCGCGGCAAGACGGAAAGACCCCGUGAACCUUUACUAUAGCUUGACACUGAACAUUGAGCCUUGAUGUGUAGGAUAGGUGGGAGGCUUUGAAGUGUGGACGCCAGUCUGCAUGGAGCCGACCUUGAAAUACCACCCUUUAAUGUUUGAUGUUCUAACGUUGACCCGUAAUCCGGGUUGCGGACAGUGUCUGGUGGGUAGUUUGACUGGGGCGGUCUCCUCCUAAAGAGUAACGGAGGAGCACGAAGGUUGGCUAAUCCUGGUCGGACAUCAGGAGGUUAGUGCAAUGGCAUAAGCCAGCUUGACUGCGAGCGUGACGGCGCGAGCAGGUGCGAAAGCAGGUCAUAGUGAUC